RNAcentral lists this ribosomal RNA (253 nucleotides) under uncultured bacterium. RNAcentral describes it as "partial 16S ribosomal RNA". It matches the Rfam family "Bacterial small subunit ribosomal RNA", at positions 524 to 776 of the family's 1533-position model. The record is from RNAcentral.
UACGUAGGUGGCAAGCGUUGUCCGGAAUUAUUGGGCGUAAAGCGCGCGCAGGCGGCCUUUUAAGUCUGAUGUGAAAGCCCACGGCUCAACCGUGGAAGGUCAUUGGAAACUGAAGGGCUUGAGUACAGAAGAGGAAAGCGGAAUUCCACGUGUAGCGGUGAAAUGCGUAGAGAUGUGGAGGAACACCAGUGGCGAAGGCGGCUUUCUGGUCUGUAACUGACGCUGAGGCGCGAAAGCGUGGGGAGCAAACAGG